This 4586-nucleotide long non-coding RNA is filed under the name Medicago truncatula (barrel medic). RNAcentral describes it as "lncRNA gene36972". Lineage: Eukaryota; Viridiplantae; Streptophyta; Magnoliopsida; Fabales; Fabaceae. The record is from RNAcentral.
CAAACAUUGCAUUAUUGAUCCAUGAAAUUAUUAGAGUAAAAUCAAGAAGCAACCAUGUUAUUAAUGAUAAAAUUAUUUUCAUCCAAAUACAUGGACUAAAUGCUUUGUGCUUAAAGACCACUUGGACAAUUACUACUAAUGAAGCAACACUUUGCAUAAUGAUAAUGAUAAUAGAUAUAAACUAGUCUAUUUAUUGAACACAUAAUGUGAUGUGGUCCAAAUCCAAAGACAAGUGGUUGUGACUUCAUGGUUUCCAUAGAAGGGUAGUUUCAGCAAUCAUGGAAGUAACCACAUAGGGAUCCAUAUUAGAAGAAGGCCUUCUAUCCUCAAAGUAACCUUUGCCAUCUUUUUCUGUGUCUCUUCCAACCCUAACAGAUGCACCACGGUUUGCCACACCCUACAUACAAUGGAACAUAACAUAAAUAUUUGUAUACCAAAUCCAAAAACAUUAAGCUAUGUUAUGAUAACUAAUUGUAUAAUAUUUCAAUCUUGAUUCUUAUCUUUGAAAAUAAUUGAUAACUUCCUUAUUUUUUAAAAAGAAGAAUAUGCCCUCGUAUAUUUUUGUUUGGCACACAGUAAAGGACCUUCCAACAUCUUAACGUUCCUAUUUAGAUCACAAGCUAUGAAGCACGGACACUGACACUGACACACAGAUACGGAUAAUAAUUUAAGAAAAUGACAUAUUUUAGUAUAAUCAUAGGUUUCGUGUCGGUGUCGGACACCAACACGUGUCUGACACCGAACACACCUAAUCUGAGGAGUGUCCGUGUUUCAUAGAUCACAAGUCUGUGUUACCAAGCUCAACAAUAUGUCCUUAUAUCUAAAGUCCAUCAUUCAAACCCUAAGAAGUACCAAAACCCUAGUUUGUUAUUGAAAAAUCUUUUUUUUUUUUGGUAUUUGUUACCAAUAUGAGGAAAAUUUCAAUUUUUUUCACUAAUUGUUAGGCAUAUUCAGAAUACUUCUAGCCAAUAGUUAAAGAAUGUAAAGAACUGACCCAAGAAAAGGUGUUGAUGUCUGCUGUUUCAUGUUUUCCAGUGAGACGUCUCUCAUUUCCUUCUCCAUAGGCAGCAAUGUGUUCCUUAUGCCUCAAUCCAAGCUUUUCAAUGGCCUUCUUGAUGAUUUCAUAGCCUCCAUUCUCUCUCAUUGACUUGGUGCUGGAAUAACCAUUGAAAUAAUAAGAAAAUGACUAUGUCUCAAAGAUACUACAUAUUGAAUAAUGUUGUCAAUCGCGCAUAUUGCAAAAAAUAGUGGUUUGUUGAAAACGACUAUAUUUUAUAGAAACUAUUUGAACAUUGUGGUCAAAAGCACAAAUUGCAAAAUUAGUGGUUUGUUCAAAUCAGUUGAAAUCAUUAUCUGAACAAACCAUUAUUUUCGCACAAAGAUACUAAAUAGUGGUUUGUUCGAAGAUACUAAAUAGUACUACAUCGCAAAACAACAUCCAUUUACUUAAAUUUCACUUGGGACCCUAGAGCUACAAUUUAAGAACAAUUUCUCCAAUAGAUUAUGAUGUUUGUUACCUAUAGUUUGUGUGAGCACCAGCUCCAUUCCAAUCACCCUAGUAACAACAAUGUAACAAACAAACAUCACUCAAAAUGGACAAAAAAAAAUUUAAUAAAGAAUAAGAUAAUCAAUUGUUUCUUUCUCUUUCAACUCUUCAACCAUACAAAAGUUUUUAACAAAUUUAAAAAUAUGUAAAAAAGGGCAUUCUAACCGGAAUUGGCUUAGGGUCAAAUGAAACAACCACUCCAGCUAUCUCUGUGAUCCUCUGUAAUAAUAUAAUAUAUAAAAAUUUCAUCAGAUAUAACAUUUUUAUUGAUAUUCUUUGUCAUAUGGCCUUCAAAAUAAAUAAUUUCGAAAAUAAAUAUAUGAAAAAUAUAAGUUACCUCUAGAAUGUAACGAGCAGCCCAUAUCUCAUCUCCAGCAGAAAUACCAACAGAAGGGCCAACUUGGAACUCCCACUAUAAAAUUGUUAUAUAAUUAAAAAAAUAUUUAACUUUAAAUACAAACCAAAAAGAUAAUAAUAAAAAACAAACAUGAAUACUAGAACUAGUAAUUAAGCAUUUUAGCACUUUUUUUUUUAGAGAAGCACUUGAAAUUGUAAUAGUUGAUCAAUAUAAUUCCACAAAUUCACAUAAUAACAAACUAGUCUUUUUAAUUAAAGAAUAUAAAUCAAUAUUUCCUCUCUAUCAACAUAUUUCUUAAGUCUUUACAAUUUAAAAGAUUAGAAUGUUUAUUUACUCUACUGAAUUUUGUUAGCAUCCGACUCCUUUAAAAUGAACAAUUUAUUUUAUUUUAAAAUAAAGUCAAUAAUAUGAGCUAUCGAUGAAAUCAUGGUUGAUAUUACAUGCGCUUAACAAAUCAUGAAUCAUGAGUGCAUUGAAAUCAACUAUAUUUUUUUCUUAAGCAAAAUCAAAUAUUGUGAUGAAUACCUGACCAGGCAUAACCUCUCCAUUGAUGCCACUAAUGUUAAUGCCAGCAUAAAGACAAGCUUUGUAAUGUGCAUCAACAAUGUCACGACCAUAGGCUUUAUCAGCACCAAUCCCACAAUAAUAUGGGCCCUGUUAAAAUAAAAAAUAAUUACACAAAAGAACCUUAGAAAAAUUAUAUGAAAGAAAAGUUAUUUGUAAAGAAACAUUAAUGUAACAUUAAAUCCUUCAAAAAAAAUUAAUGUAACAUUAAUGUAAAGAAACAUAUUAAUGUUACAAAAACAAAAAUUUUAGGUACAAUUUUUUUUGACAUUACAUUGUCUACUUGUAGUAAGAAAAACCAUUUCCUUGGCACAAAGAAAUGUAUCAUAGAUUUGGUUGAAGAAUUUGAUAAUUGGGAUAAAUCCAAAACAAGAUAAACAUAAAGGGAACAAAAAUCAAGAAGGAAAAAAAAUGUACUAAAUGACAAAGAAAAAUUCAUACUUGUGGUCCUGGAUAGCCACCAAUAGGCCAUCCUAGUGGCCAAUUAGUAUCUUUCUGCAAUAAUGUAUAUUCUUGCUCAAUUCCAUACCUGUUAAUACAUUUAAGAAAUAUUAAUUUUUGGUUAUCAUCAGAAUAGUACUAAUACUUCAUAUGACAAAUGUGUUACAUGUUAGAGAGUACAUGUGUCUGACACAUACACGACACUGAUACAUACACAAUCCAUAUACAUGUAGUUACUUCAAUCAUUUUAUAUAUUUUUUAAAUUAUUAUCGAUGUCAAUGAAAAUAGUAGAUUAGAAAAUACAUACCAUGGUACCUCAGCAGCAACAUCAGGGUGGCUGAAAAUUUUGGCAGCAUUGUACCUCUUGUUUGUUGGGAGUGGCUCACCAGCUGGGGUGUAAACAUCACAAAUCACCUGAAGAAUUUUUUUCACAAAGUGAAAUUUGUCAAAAAAAAAAAUAUACAUUUUGAUUAACUAGAAAAGCAUUUUCUUAUUCAAAUAUAAUUAAUAUAAAGUAUAAACCAAUUAUGUCAAAAUUAAAAAAUUGAAAAACUUACAAGAAUAUUGUUGCCUUGUCUAAAUGGAUCCUUGAAAAUAGCUUGUGGACUUUUUUAUCAAAUAAUCACAACAAACAAAAAGGAAAGAAAGACUCAUAAGUUUCUUGUGAGAAUAAUUAGCAAAAACAAUAAAAAACAUAGAAUUAUGAGUGAUAAAUUGAAUCAUACUAUAAGAUAACUUCACUAUCUUGUCCUGGAGCUUGAUUUGUGCUUGAUCCAUCAUAGUUCCAUUUAGGAAGUUUUGAAGGGUCACUCACUGGACCAGGUAGAGUCUGUUUAUUUCAAAAUCACCAAAAAAAAACCAAUAAAUGAAUAAAUACAAAUUUAAUUAACAUAAUGUAUAUGAAACUUUAUUUUUUAUAUAUAAUGAUGAUUAAUAAGGGAUUAAGAAAUAACAAUUACCCUGGCUUUGCUUCUAAGGUCCAUACCAGAUCCACCAACCCUGUUUAUAAUAACAUAUAAAAAAUUAAAUUUUUAUUUAAUAUUAUAGAUUGCGAUUGACUAUUCCACAUAACAUAAUAGAUCAACCAAAGAAAAGGGUUUUAGGAAUUAGCAAUAAGAAAACAAUACAAGAAAAUAAUAUUACAAAUAAACCAUAGAGGGUUUAAUUCUACCAAAAACAAGGGUUUUAGGAUUUAUCCAUAAGAAAACUAUACAAUAAAAAAAUAUAUAUAAACUCUUUGAUCUACAAAUAAACCAUAGUAAAGGAGGAACAUUGAAGAACAACAUCUAAUUUGAAUAAAAGUUCUAAAAGAAUCAACCCUUUUAAAAUAUACCAAGAAUCAUAAUGAAUAACAUAGCAACAAAGUUGUUACAUUAUUUUUUGUGUUUAUUCUUUAUCAAAAGAUUUUCAUAAACAGAACACAAAAACAGAGUCCCCUGUUUAAAAACAGAGUAUCCCCUGUUUUCAUAAGGUUUAUGUAACAAGAAAAGAUCCUUAAAACCUUACCAUAUGUAUUCAGCAAUAAUCUUUUCAGAGGAUUCUGAGAGAUUGAGGUUGAUGAGAUCUGAAAGCAAAGACAUGAUGAUGAAUAGUGAAGGAAGAAGAAGAACACAGUGUGUGAAAAGCAAGUAAUAGACAAAUAGCUAUAGAGGAAUCUCUAGCUUUUUUGUUAAGGUU